This is a long non-coding RNA of Pseudopipra pipra, 981 nucleotides long. RefSeq lists it as uncharacterized. The transcript is spliced from 2 exons. Lineage: Eukaryota; Metazoa; Chordata; Aves; Passeriformes; Pipridae. The record is from RefSeq and is a predicted model, not a curated record.
UUAAACAAUGCUGGUCCCGACAGUGACCCCUGAGGAACACUACUUGUCACUGUUCUCCGCAGGAAUUUUCUUCCUGUGUCUGAUGGACACUAGCCACAAGUAAGCUGGGAAAAAAAAAGUCCUAGUUUGUAUGGCCUGCAGAUGAUUUAAUGGAUAUCAAAGACGAUGCAUCAAACUGAGAUUAACGUUGUUGAAAAAUAUAAAUUUGCUAAGAAGGAUGAAAUUUUGGACAGGCACAAGACCAUUUAGUUCCUAAGGUUGGAAUUUUUCUUAACUUCACAUAAAAAUUUGCACUACACUUAAUAUGUAGCUACAAAAUAGGAAUGGUUGAGGUUUGUAUUAAGGAAGAUUUUGGGCUAGGUGGCCAUAAUAUACUGCCUCAUAAAAACUGCAAAUACAGGAAAUAUCAGAUAAGCAUGCAACUCUUGCUCAUUUAGAUGAGAUGCUCUGACCUCACAUUAUCUUGAUCAAAACUAUUAUUACAGUAAUCUCUGAAAUACUUUGUACAUUGUACAAACCUCAUAAAGAAGUAUGUCACUUAUUAUUUCUGGACUCUUAUCUGUUUUGCAGAGUUUGUGGAUACAGGUAGAUAAGCUAGCACAACAUUCUUUAUGUGGAAUCUUACAGGAACAGAAAAGAAUACUGUACUUAAAACUCUAACUCAACGUAAAAGCAAAAUAAGAGGAACAAUUAGUGCCUUUACAGAGAGAAACAGGAGAAUCCACUGGUCCAUAUCCUGAACCAUUUGACUGGGGCUGUUCAAGAACAAAAUUGGACCAUCUGGGAUCAUCUGAAUCUCAUUUAAUGAGUUUUCUGUAGACUGGCUACUUCUGUGCUCAUUUCCCUGCAGCAGUUCAACUUUAUUGUUAUCAACAAAGCAUUGCCAUUUUACCCGCUGACUGAUACUCUUGCCUCAUUCUUGAAAAAGAUCUGAUAAGCCAAAAUCUACAAUUUCCAAAUAAAUAAAUUUUGGUGACCAAA